Molecule: long non-coding RNA, 479 nt
Organism: Ixodes scapularis (black-legged tick)
Lineage: Eukaryota; Metazoa; Arthropoda; Arachnida; Ixodida; Ixodidae
Exons: 3
Source: RefSeq, a predicted model, not a curated record
GCAAGUUAGCGCUGUUUAUUCUCGACAGGACCAUUUUACACGAGAUCAGUUUGAACCUCGGAUCUGGCAGAGCCAUGUCAUCAAAAAACUUAAACCGGACGCUGUCCCCACCAAGUUUAGCCAUAGGCUGCCAAAGCCAGUUCGAAGACCACCACGAGAAAGGGAAGUGGGAAACAUCCAAGGGGAGCCAAUGCAGGAGGAAGACAGCAUCCAGACGCUUCCAUCUCUGGAUUCAACUGCUGCUCUCACAGCACAAGCCUUGCCCACGCAGACAGCAGCACAAUCCAGCAAAGUGCAAAACUGCGACCAGGAGUCUGUGCCUCAGGCGAGCCCUCCAGUUGGUGAGUCACAUGCAAUUCCAGCAUUUAGUAGCCGGGCACACGCAGCGACAUGCAGUCACAAUCAUCCUUAACUCGAGCGUGUGCCAGGCAUACCCUGGGCUAAUUCUUCCGUUCCUUCUUUUUCGGCCUGUAUUUGCU